RNAcentral lists this ribosomal RNA (457 nucleotides) under uncultured Comamonadaceae bacterium. Its description in RNAcentral is "bacterial SSU rRNA". It matches the Rfam family "Bacterial small subunit ribosomal RNA", at positions 346 to 795 of the family's 1533-position model. The record is from RNAcentral. Lineage: Bacteria; Pseudomonadati; Pseudomonadota; Betaproteobacteria; Burkholderiales; Comamonadaceae.
UGGCAGCAGUGGGGAAUUUUGGACAAUGGGCGCAAGCCUGAUCCAGCAAUGCCGCGUGCAGGAAGAAGGCCUUCGGGUUGUAAACUGCUUUUGUACGGAACGAAACGGUCUGAGUUAAUACCUCGGGCUAAUGACGGUACCGUAAGAAUAAGCACCGGCUAACUACGUGCCAGCAGCCGCGGUAAUACGUAGGGUGCAAGCGUUAAUCGGAAUUACUGGGCGUAAAGCGUGCGCAGGCGGUGAUGUAAGACAGUCGUGAAAUCCCCGGGCUCAACCUGGGAAUUGCGAUUGUGACUGCAUCGCUGGAGUGCGGCAGAGGGGGAUGGAAUUCCGCGUGUAGCAGUGAAAUGCGUAGAUAUGCGGAGGAACACCGAUGGCGAAGGCAAUCCCCUGGGCCUGCACUGACGCUCAUGCACGAAAGCGUGGGGAGCAAACAGGAUUAGAUACCCCAGUAGUC